GUGCCAGCCGCCGCGGUAAUACGGAGGGUGCGAGCGUUAAUCGGAAUUACUGGGCGUAAAGGGCACGCAGGCGGUUAAUUAAGUUGGAUGUGAAAUCCCCGGGCUUAACCUGGGAAUGGCAUUCAAGACUGGUUAGCUAGAGUCUUGUAGAGGGGGGUAGAAUUCCAUGUGUAGCGGUGAAAUGCGUAGAGAUGUGGAGGAAUACCGGUGGCGAAGGCGGCCCCCUGGACAAAGACUGACGCUCAUGUGCGAAAGCGUGGGGAGCAAACAGGAUUAGAUACCCUGGUAGUCCACGCUGUAAACGAUGUCGAUUUGGAGGUUGUGGUCAAGAACUGUGGCCUCCGGAGCUAACGCGUUAAAUCGACCGCCUGGGGAGUACGGCCGCAAGGUUAAAACUUAAAUGAAUUGACGG
RNAcentral lists this ribosomal RNA (412 nucleotides) under Arsenophonus endosymbiont of Bemisia tabaci. RNAcentral describes it as "bacterial SSU rRNA". It matches the Rfam family "Bacterial small subunit ribosomal RNA", at positions 505 to 916 of the family's 1533-position model. The record is from RNAcentral. Lineage: Bacteria; Pseudomonadati; Pseudomonadota; Gammaproteobacteria; Enterobacterales; Morganellaceae.